Lingula anatina is the source of this 269-nucleotide long non-coding RNA. Lineage: Eukaryota; Metazoa; Brachiopoda; Lingulata; Lingulida; Lingulidae. The record is from RefSeq and is a predicted model, not a curated record.
UUCGUUAUUUUGAUUUUUUUCUAGUGGGUACUGAUGAUCUUAUUUGCCUUGUCUAUAACAUCAGUGGUUGAAGGACAAAAUGGCAGCUACACCGUGUCCUGUCUGACUGGAAAUAUGGUAUUCUGGUUCAAACCGUACGACUACUCGUCCUUUAGAACAAAAUAUCCUUCCAGCAAAGUGUAUGUGGAGGGCUAUGGAAACGACUCGAGGUGCGUGAGUCAAAAUGACGCCACAAACGGGCGGUAUGUUGUGUCUAUACCCCUGGCAAA